This 164-nucleotide ribosomal RNA is filed under the name uncultured bacterium. Its description in RNAcentral is "partial 16S rRNA". It matches the Rfam family "Bacterial small subunit ribosomal RNA", at positions 355 to 511 of the family's 1533-position model. The record is from RNAcentral.
UAGGGAAUCUUCCACAAUGGGCGAAAGCCUGAUGGAGCAACGCCGCGUGUGUGAUGAAGGGUUUCGGCUCGUAAAACACUGUUGUAAGAGAAGAAUGACAUUGAGAGUAACUGUUCAGUGUGUGACGGUAUCUUACCAGAAAGGAACGGCUAAAUACGGGCCAG